CAGAGCUUCGAAGCCUAAGGGAAAGCAGCCGAAAGGUGAACUACCCUUAGGAUUGAGAUCUCCACCCUUUGUUUACAUUACCUUUGUUGCUUUAGCAGGCCCGCUCUUGGGCCGCCGGCUUUUUGCUGGUCAGCGCCUGCUAGAGGACCUAAAACUCUUGUUAAUAAUAUUGUCUGAGUACUAUAUAAUAGUUA
This 194-nucleotide unclassified non-coding RNA is filed under the name uncultured Helotiales. RNAcentral describes it as "sequence contains ITS1". The record is from RNAcentral. Lineage: Eukaryota; Fungi; Ascomycota; Leotiomycetes; Helotiales.